Molecule: ribosomal RNA, 468 nt
Filed under: uncultured bacterium
Lineage: Bacteria
Description: partial 16S ribosomal RNA
Rfam family: Bacterial small subunit ribosomal RNA
Source: RNAcentral
GACGAACGCUGGCGGCGUGCCUAACACAUGCAAGUCGAACGGAAAGGCCAUGCUUUUGUGGGGUGCUCGAGUGGCGAACGGGUGAGUAACACGUGAGUAACCUGCCCUUGACUUUGGGAUAACUUCAGGUAACUGGGGCUAAUACCGGAUAGGAGCUCCUGCUGCACGGUGGGGGUUGGAAAGUUUCGGCGGUCGGGGAUGGACUCGCGGCUUAGCAGCUUGUUGGUGGGGUAGUGGCUUACCCAGGCUGUGACGGGUAGCCGGCCUGGGAGGGUGACCGGCCACAUUAGGACUACGGUAGGGCGCAGUGUGCAACGGGGGGCAACAGUGGGAAAUAUUGCACAGUGAGCGGGAGCCUGAUGCGACGGCGCCGCGUGCGGAAUGACGGCCUUCGGGUUAUGAACCGCUUUCGCCUGAGACGAAGCGUGAGUGACGGUAAUGGGUGAAGAAGCACCGGCUAACUACGUG